AAUUUUCCGCAAUGGGGGAAACCCUGACGGAGCAACGCCGCGUGAGGGAAGAAGGUCNNNGGAUCNUAAACCUUUGUCAUCGANGAANAUAAUGACGGUACUCGAGGAGGAAGCCCCGGCUAACUACGUGCCAGCAGCCGCGGUAAUACGUAGGGGGCAAGCGUUGUCCGGAAUUAUUGGGCGUAAAGGGUGCGUAGGCGGCCUUUUAAGUCAGGUGUGAAAGCCCACGGCUUAACCGUAGUUAGCAUUUGAAACUAAAAGGCUUGAGUGCAGGAGAGGAGAGUGGAAUUCCUAGUGUAGCGGUGAAAUGCGUAGAUAUUAGGAGGAACACCAGUGGCGAAGGCGACUCUCUGGACUGCAACUGACGCUGAGGCACGAAAGCGUGGGGAGCGAAC
RNAcentral lists this ribosomal RNA (395 nucleotides) under uncultured bacterium. RNAcentral describes it as "partial 16S ribosomal RNA". It matches the Rfam family "Bacterial small subunit ribosomal RNA", at positions 360 to 773 of the family's 1533-position model. The record is from RNAcentral.